UGCCUUACACAUGCAAGUCGAACGCGAAAGCGGGGCAACCCGCAAGUAGAGUGGCGAACGGGUGAGUAAUACAUCGGAACAUUUCCAGUAGCGGGGGAUAACCUGUCGAAAGAUAGGCUAAUACCGCAUACGACCUACGGGUGAAAGCGGAGGACCGCAAGGCUUCGCACUAUUGGAGUGGCCGAUGUCGGAUUAGCUAGUUGGCGGGGUAAAAGCCCACCAAGGCGACGAUCCGUAGCUGGUCUGAGAGGACGAUCAGCCACACUGGAACUGAGACACGGUCCAGACUCCUACGGGAGGCAGCAGUGGGGAAUUCUGGACAAUGGGCGCAAGCCUGAUCCAGCCAUGCCGCGUGAGUGAAGAAGGCCUUCGGGUUGUAAAGCUCUUUCGGUGGGGACGAAAAGGUUCGUGCUAAUACCACGGACUAAUGACGGUACCCGAAGAAUAAGCACCGGCUAACUACGUGCCAGCAGCCGCGGUAAUACGUAGGGUGCAAGCGUUAAUCGGAAUUACUGGGCGUAAAGCGUGCGCAGGCGGUUGUGUAAGUCUGUCGUGAAAUCCCCGGGCUCAACCUGGGAAUUGCGAUGGAGACUGCACGGCUAGAGUCUGGCAGAGGGGGGUAGAAUUCCACGUGUAGCAGUGAAAUGCGUAGAGAUGUGGAGGAACACCGAUGGCGAAGGCAGCCCCCUGGGUCAAGAUUGAC
Molecule: ribosomal RNA, 703 nt
Filed under: uncultured soil bacterium
Lineage: Bacteria
Description: bacterial SSU rRNA
Rfam family: Bacterial small subunit ribosomal RNA
Source: RNAcentral